This 462-nucleotide ribosomal RNA is filed under the name uncultured bacterium. Its description in RNAcentral is "bacterial SSU rRNA". It matches the Rfam family "Bacterial small subunit ribosomal RNA", at positions 340 to 793 of the family's 1533-position model. The record is from RNAcentral.
UACGGGAGGCAGCAGUGGGGAACUAUUGCACAAUGGGCGCAAGCCUGAUGCAGCCAUGCCGCGUGUAUGAAGAAGGCCUUCGGGUCGUAAAGUACUUUCAGCAGUGAGGAAGGUGGGUAUGUUAAUAGCAUACUCAUUUGACGUUAGCUGCAGAAGAAGCACCGGCUAACUCCGUGCCAGCAGCCGCGGUAAUACGGAGGGUGCGAGCGUUAAUCGGAAUUACUGGGCGUAAAGCGCAUGCAGGUGGUUUGUUAAGUCAGAUGUGAAAGCCCGGGGCUCAACCUCGGAAUUGCAUUUGAAACUGGCAAACUAGAGUACUGUAGAGGGGGGUAGAAUUUCAGGUGUAGCGGUGAAAUGCGUAGAGAUCUGAAGGAAUACCGGUGGCGAAGGCGGCCCCCUGGACAGAUACUGACACUCAGAUGCGAAAGCGUGGGGAGCAAACAGGAUUAGAUACCCUGGUAG